This 150-nucleotide unclassified non-coding RNA is filed under the name plant metagenome. RNAcentral's name for it is "partial contains small subunit ribosomal RNA and internal transcribed spacer 1". The stretch from base 1 to 46 matches the Rfam family "Eukaryotic small subunit ribosomal RNA", at positions 1786 to 1831 of the family's 1831-position model. The record is from RNAcentral.
AAGUCGUAACAAGGUUUCCGUAGGUGAACCUGCGGAAGGAUCAUUAGAGAGCCUUCGGGCAUGACAUUCAAAACCUGUGAACCGCCUCCGGGCACGCCUCCGGGCUUCAAACAUGGUGUAACGAACGUCAUCAUUAGAAAUAAAACACAA